UACAGAGGUCCCAAGCGUUGUUCGGAUUCACUGGGCGUAAAGGGUGCGCAGGUGGGUUGGCAAGUUCGAUGUGAAAGCCCCGGGCUUAACCCGGGAAUGGCAUUGGAAACUGCUGAUCUGGAGGAUCGGAGGGGGGACUGGAAUUCUUGGUGUAGCAGUGAAAUGCGUAGAUAUCAAGAGGAACACCAGUGGCGAAGGCGAGUCCCUGGACGAUACCUGACACUGAGGCACGAAAGCCGAGGGAGCAAACAGG
This 253-nucleotide ribosomal RNA is filed under the name uncultured bacterium. RNAcentral describes it as "partial 16S ribosomal RNA". It matches the Rfam family "Bacterial small subunit ribosomal RNA", at positions 524 to 776 of the family's 1533-position model. The record is from RNAcentral.